GUUUGAUUAUGGCUCAGAAUGAACGUUGGCGGCGUGGAUUAGGCAUGCAAGUCGAGCGAGAAAUUUACUUCGGUAAAUGGACAGCGGCGAAAGGGACAGUAAUGUGUAGGUACCUACCCUCUGAUCUGGGAUAGCUGCGGGAAACUGCAGGUAAUACCGGAUAAUGUCUUCGGACCAAAGGUGUGAUUCCGUCUGAGGAGGGGCCUGCAUCCUAUUAGCUUGUUGGUGAGGUAAUGGCUCACCAAGGCAACGAUGGGUAGCGGGUGUGAGAGCAUGACCCGCGUCAUUGGGACUGAGACACUGCCCAGACAUCUACGGAUGGCUGCAGUCGAGAAUCUUCGGCAAUGGGCGAAAGCCUGACCGAGCGACGCCGCGUGCGGGAUGAAGGCCCUCGGGUUGUAAACCGCUGUCGUUGGGGAGGAAAUGCAAGAGGGCUAUCCCUUUUGUUUGACCGAUCCAAGGAGGAAGUACGGGCUAAGUUCGUGC
Molecule: ribosomal RNA, 486 nt
Filed under: uncultured bacterium
Lineage: Bacteria
Description: bacterial SSU rRNA
Rfam family: Bacterial small subunit ribosomal RNA
Source: RNAcentral